UAAUACAUGCAAGUCGAGCGAACAGACGAGGAGCUUGCUCCUCUGACGUUAGCGGCGGACGGGUGAGUAACACGUGGAUAACCUACCUAUAAGACUGGGAUAACUUCGGGAAACCGGAGCUAAUACCGGAUAAUAUAUUGAACCGCAUGGUUCAAUAGUGAAAGACGGUUUUGCUGUCACUUAUAGAUGGAUCCGCGCCGCAUUAGCUAGUUGGUAAGGUAACGGCUUACCAAGGCAACGAUGCGUAGCCGACCUGAGAGGGUGAUCGGCCACACUGGAACUGAGACACGGUCCAGACUCCUACGGGAGGCAGCAGUAGGGAAUCUUCCGCAAUGGGCGAAAGCCUGACGGAGCAACGCCGCGUGAGUGAUGAAGGUCUUCGGAUCGUAAAACUCUGUUAUUAGGGAAGAACAAAUGUGUAAGUAACUAUGCACGUCUUGACGGUACCUAAUCAGAAAGCCACGGCUAACUACGUGCCAGCAGCCGCGGUAAUACGUAGGUGGCAAGCGUUAUCCGGAAUUAUUGGGCGUAAAGCGCGCGUAGGCGGUUUUUUAAGUCUGAUGUGAAAGCCCACGGCUCAACCGUGGAGGGUCAUUGGAAACUGGAAAACUUGAGUGCAGAAGAGGAAAGUGGAAUUCCAUGUGUAGCGGUGAAAUGCGCAGAGAUAUGGAGGAACACCAGUGGCGAAGGCGACUUUCUGGUCUGUAACUGACGCUGAUGUGCGAAAGCGUGGGGAUCAAACAGGAUUAGAUACCCUGGUAGUCCACGCCGUAAACGAUGAGUGCUAAGUGUUAGGGGGUUUCCGCCCCUUAGUGCUGCAGCUAACGCAUUAAGCACUCCGCCUGGGGAGUACGACCGCAAGGUUGAAACUCAAAGGAAUUGACGGGGACCCGCACAAGCGGUGGAGCAUGUGGUUUAAUUCGAAGCAACGCGAAGAACCUUACCAAAUCUUGACAUCCUCUGACCCCUCUAGAGAUAGAGUUUUCCCCUUCGGGGGACAGAGUGACAGGUGGUGCAUGGUUGUCGUCAGCUCGUGUCGUGAGAUGUUGGGUUAAGUCCCGCAACGAGCGCAACCCUUAAGCUUAGUUGCCAUCAUUAAGUUGGGCACUCUAAGUUGACUGCCGGUGACAAACCGGAGGAAGGUGGGGAUGACGUCAAAUCAUCAUGCCCCUUAUGAUUUGGGCUACACACGUGCUACAAUGGACAAUACAAAGGGUAGCGAAACCGCGAGGUCAAGCAAAUCCCAUAAAGUUGUUCUCAGUUCGGAUUGUAGUCUGCAACUCGACUAUAUGAAGCUGGAAUCGCUAGUAAUCGUAGAUCAGCAUGCUACGGUGAAUACG
This 1340-nucleotide ribosomal RNA is filed under the name Staphylococcus epidermidis. Its description in RNAcentral is "partial 16S ribosomal RNA". It matches the Rfam family "Bacterial small subunit ribosomal RNA", at positions 49 to 1370 of the family's 1533-position model. Lineage: Bacteria; Bacillati; Bacillota; Bacilli; Caryophanales; Staphylococcaceae. The record is from RNAcentral. RNAcentral also lists the same sequence under 1 other name.